Peromyscus maniculatus bairdii (prairie deer mouse) is the source of this 162-nucleotide long non-coding RNA. RefSeq lists it as uncharacterized. Lineage: Eukaryota; Metazoa; Chordata; Mammalia; Rodentia; Cricetidae. The record is from RefSeq and is a predicted model, not a curated record.
GUGGGCCCGCCGCCCGGCAGAGGCGCAGGCAGUAAGCGCCGUUUCCGGCUUAGGAUCGGGGUCCGGAGAAGGGGCUGUCUGUAGGCGCCAUGUCGGGCCGCGAAGGUGGCAAAAAGAAGCCCCUGAAACAGCCCAAGAAGCAGGCCAAGGAGAUGGACGAGG